UGGGGAAUAUUGCACAAUGGAGGGAACUCUGAUGCAGCGACGCCGCGUGAGUGAUGAAGGAAUUCGUUUCGUAAAACUCUGUUCUAUGGGAAGAAAAGGACUGUACCAUAGGAGAAAGCUCCGGCUAAAUACGUGCCAGCAGCCGCGGUAAUACGUAUGGAGCGAGCGUUGUCCGGAAUUAUUGGGCGUAAAGGGUGCGCAGGCGGCUUUACAAGUUGGAUGUGAAAUAUUGUGGCUCAAACACAAACGUGCAUCCAAAACUGCAAAGCUUGAGUGAAGGAGAAGUAAGUGGAAUUCCUGAUGGAGCGGUGGAAAGCGUAGAUAUCAGGAGAAAUACCGGUGGCAAAGGCGACUUACUGGACUUGAACUGACGCUAAGGCACGAAAGCGUGGGGAGCAAACAGG
RNAcentral lists this ribosomal RNA (404 nucleotides) under Fusobacteriota bacterium. RNAcentral's name for it is "Fusobacteria bacterium partial 16S ribosomal RNA". It matches the Rfam family "Bacterial small subunit ribosomal RNA", at positions 355 to 776 of the family's 1533-position model. The record is from RNAcentral. Lineage: Bacteria; Fusobacteriati; Fusobacteriota.